GACGAACGCUGGCGGCGUGCUUAACACAUGCAAGUCGAACGGGCUCUGUCUGGCUGUGUGCUGGGUGGGGUUAGUGGCGAACGGGUGAGUAAUACGUGAGUAACCUGCCCUCUUCUUUGGGAUAAGCCUUGGAAACGGGGUCUAAUACUGGAUAUUCCUGUCUGGUCGCAUGGCUGGGUGGGGAAAGUUUUUUUCGGUGGGGGAUGGGCUCGCGGCCUAUCAGCUUGUUGGUGGGGUGAUGGCCUACCAAGGCGUCGACGGGUAGCCGGCCUGAGAGGGUGGCCGGCCACACUGGGACUGAGAUACGGCCCAGACUCCUACGGGAGGCAGCAGUGGGGGAUAUUGCACAAUGGGCGCAAGCCUGAUGCAGCGACGCCGCGUGGGGGAUGACGGCUUUCGGGUUGUAAACCUCUUUCGUCGGGGGACAAGGCUCUGCUUGGUGGUGGGGUUGAGGGUACCCGGUGAAGAAGCGCCGGCUAACUACGUG
This 487-nucleotide ribosomal RNA is filed under the name uncultured bacterium. RNAcentral's name for it is "partial 16S ribosomal RNA". It matches the Rfam family "Bacterial small subunit ribosomal RNA", at positions 28 to 507 of the family's 1533-position model. The record is from RNAcentral.